AGUUCCGGAUAGCCUAUACUUGUCUUAUAUUAAGCGGUGCUUGUCUGUUUAUGGCAGCUAUGAACCAUACUUCUGCUUCUAUGGAGAUAUUAGUUCGAGGGCUCGAAGGAUUCAGUGUGUGGAAUGGACCUCCAAUUGACAAUGCUGAACCUUGUGUGUGGAGGAAGUAAGUAACGGGGGCGGCAAAUGGACUGGGAUCGAAGGGUUCCUUAAAAAUGGCGUCAGAGAUGAACUCAGGACAAAAUUUGCAGUAAUUAAAAACGUUGAGGGAUGAAAAGGUAAGAAAGAAAAUUUGAGGGACUAAAUGUCGGCAUGAAGAAGAAGAAAAGAGGAAUCGGGAAGAGAGAGAGAGAGGGAGACCGGAGGAAGGAGAAGCUGGGGUGCUGCGUGAUCGGUGGCCAACCAAGUGGGAG
Molecule: long non-coding RNA, 413 nt
Organism: Ricinus communis (castor bean)
Lineage: Eukaryota; Viridiplantae; Streptophyta; Magnoliopsida; Malpighiales; Euphorbiaceae
Exons: 3
Source: RefSeq, a predicted model, not a curated record